UACGUAGGGGGCGAGCGUUGUCCGGAGUUACUGGGCGUAAAGCGUCCGCAGGUGGUGACUCAAGUGGUGACUGACAGUGCCCGGCUUAACUGGGCAAGGCGUCGCCAAACUGGGCCACUUGAGGGCUUCAGAGGGACACGGAAUUCCGGGUGGAGUGGUGAAAUGCGUAGAGAUCCGGAGGAACACCAAAGGCGUAGGCAGUGUCCUGGGGAGUACCUGACACUCAUGGACGAAAGCUAGGGGAGCGAACGGG
This 253-nucleotide ribosomal RNA is filed under the name uncultured bacterium. Its description in RNAcentral is "partial 16S ribosomal RNA". It matches the Rfam family "Bacterial small subunit ribosomal RNA", at positions 524 to 776 of the family's 1533-position model. The record is from RNAcentral.